CUACGGGACGCUCCAGUAGGGAAUUUUCGGCAAUGGGCGAAAGCCUGACCGAGCAAUGCCGCGUGAACGAUGAAGGCCUUCGGGUUGUAAAGUUCUGUUAUCAGGGAAGAACAUACGGAUUAGGAAAUGACUCCGUACUGACGGUACCUGAUCAGAAAGCUCCGGCUAACUACGUGCCAGCAGCCGCGGUAAUACGUAGGGAGCGAGCGUUAUCCGGAAUUAUUGGGCGUAAAGCGUGCGUAGGCGGUUCGUUAAGUCAAAUCUGAAAGCCCACAGCUUAACUGUGGAGGGCGAUUUGAAACUGGCGAACUUGAGUACGGCAGAGGUUAGUGGAAUUCAAUGUGUAGCGGUGGAAUGCGUAGAUAUAUUGAGGAACACCAGUGGCGAAGGCGGCUAACUGGACCGGAACUGACGCUGAGGCACGAAAGCGUGGGGAGCAAACAGGAUUAGAUACCCGCGUAGUC
Molecule: ribosomal RNA, 464 nt
Filed under: uncultured bacterium
Lineage: Bacteria
Description: partial 16S ribosomal RNA
Rfam family: Bacterial small subunit ribosomal RNA
Source: RNAcentral